GUAUUUAUGGGGAAAAAAUUACCAAUCAUAGAAUUUACGAAAAACAAUAGCAAUGCGCAGAAUUACGUAAAUAAUUUAGACACGCACUUAAACUUUUUCGAGGCAGUUUUAGACUAUAAGAAUUCUUCGAUCAAGAAAAAAGUAAAUUAUAUACGUAUAUUCCGAAUAUUACAGGAGUUUCACGGGUAUAUUAAAAGUAUUAGGAUAGUGAACAAAAGAAUCGCUGAGGUUACGUUUAGAGACGCGUAUAAAGGUAUGGAACAUAUAGAAAAAUCAAAGAAAAAGAAGAAAAGACUUGUGUGUACAAAAUCCCGCGAAGAGCAACCGGAAGGUGGGGGGUUUGCAGAGAGUGGGAGUACUCACCCAAGGAAUUAAUAGAACUAGCGGAAGAGGGUCAAGGUAUCAUCAGUGCGGAAAGGCUGAAAAAACGUAUAAAAACUGAAAAGGCAAUAGACUAUAAAGAGUCGAUGUUAGUGCUAGUGAAGUUUGCAGGUGAUACGUUACCUACCAGAAUAAGUCUCUACGAGGGUGCGCUCAACAUCAACAUCGAUCCAUAUGUCAAAGGAGUGAAACAAUGUUUCAAGUGCUUAAAGUAUGACCACUUUAAAAAUAUAUACAGAGCGGAGGACAAAAAGUGCUUCAUCUGUGGGGAGAAUUACCACGGGAGGUACAACGGUGUGCCAAAAUGUGUGAAUUGCGGCGAAAGCCAUGGAUCAUUGAGCAGAAUGUGUCUCCACUGGCAGAUGGAAAGCGCCACAAAUAAAUUGAUGGUUCAUAAAAACAUAGCCUUCAGCGAAGCAAGAGAAGAGAGAAACUUCCCAAGCUUACCUAACAGGAGAAUGUACAGAGAGGCAACGUGAGAGGACAGGCCGUGUCCCAUUAAGAAAAACCCUUGGGAAAAGAAAAUCAAAGAAAAGGAGGUAACGUUUGUAAAUAAGAAUAGAUACAAUGUUCUCAACGACGAAAAUGAGGGUUAUGAGCCAGGUAACUGGGAGGCGAAAAACUUAGAGACGGGAACAAGAUACUAGGAUCAUACCUACCAAAUAAACAAAAAAACACAAAAACCAAAAAGAGAAUUCUCAGAAGAUGACAUCGAGGCAGUCAUAAGCUGGAUCACAAACUUCAACAUGGAGGGCAUCAUUAUAAAUAGAAUUAAUAGAAAUAAAAAAAUAUACCAUCCAAGGAGAAUAGAUUUGGACGACUCGGAUUAUAAACCAGCAAGAGCAAAAAGAGAGUAUAUGGAAGGUAGAAAAGCAUGGGAAAGAGAGGAUAGAGUGAGGAAAGAAUUGCCUAAAUACGCCCCAAUUAAGGAGGUCGAGAAUAACAGAAAAGCACUAGUAAGAAAAAAUCAUGGGAUGAUAAGGUCAACUUUUAAGAACGAGAAAAGAUUUGGAAGGACAUAUAGCAGAAGGCCGAGGUUUCCGAACGUGAUACCUAGGGAUACGGGGAGAGACGAGGAAGAAAAGAAGAAGGCGACAAAGAUCGCAAAGGAAAUAGAUGAACUAAAACCAGCCCAGAUCAUAGGCAGUUUGGGAUCAGAAAGAGAUGCAAGGGAUGCACAAGAAGGAAAAGAACAAGAAUCGAACAUCAGAACAAAUAUGAUGUCGGACGAAGAGUGGGAAGGUGAAACAUCGAUAACCGAUAAAAAAGAAGAAGAAGAGGAGACGAUGCUCAUACACGAUGAGAAUAUGGAGGAUCUACUGAAGUUCGAAUCCAUUGGGGCCACGGUAGAGGUGAUAGAAAUCAGCACGGUAGAAGAAAGAAGCCCAUCAGAGGGACAAGCGAAAGAAAACAAGGAAAUGGAAAAUAACGAGUACCCGGAAGACGGAGAAGAAUGGGGAACUCCGCAACAGGGAAGAGAAAGAUUAUGUCGAAUUAUGUAAAGAUAGGCUUUUGGAACGCGAAUAGCAUUAUGAAUAAAACAAUAAACUUAUUAAAUUGUAUCGACGAAUAUGAUGUGAUGUUUGUAUGCGAAUCAUGGGUAGAAAAAAUACAAGAAAAGAAUAUUAAGGGAUACUUAGUAGUAUAUAAUAAUAUUCCGGAAUUCGAAGGGAAAAGAAGAAACGGAACGUCAGAAAUCCAGGUAGCAAUUUCACCAAGGAAAAAUGGAAAUACUUGUUUGAUAAAAUGAAUAUUAAGGAUAACACUGUAAUAAUAGGAGAUCUAAAUGCAAAGCACACGAGUUGGAACUGUAAGAGGGAAAACACGUCAGGAAGUGCAUUGGCUAUAGUAUUAGAAGAAAUAGAAAUGGAAAUAGUUAACACGGAAACAAUAACUAGGAUUGACCUUAUCAUUACACACCCAUAUAUGUUAGGUAACUUAACAUACUCUGAGUCUAACAUUAACCUAGGAUCUGACCAUCAGAUAAUUAACUUAAUAUUAUACGCAAAUGAUAGUAUAGGUUUAGAUAACUAUCGCAGCAAAUUUGCGAGAAAAUCUGGCAGACUGUAUGAUAAAAAAGAAAAUGUGAAUUGGGAUAAUAUAAGGGAAGAAUUAGAAAGGAAAAAGGAUAAAAUAAUGGAAGAAUUCAAGAAAGCUGAGGAUAUAGGAAACAAAUAUAAGGUAUGGGUAAGCAAUAUCAAGGAAGUAUUUAUACUAGUUAAGGGAAAGGAAAGUAGGACAAGUAAUAGACAGGUAAACAAUCGAGACAACAUACUACAGAAUAAUAACCGAAAAGUAAGGAAUCAUAAUGAGAGGAAACCGAACCAUGCGAACAAUAAAAAAUUCGGGUGGGACGAAGAAUGCAGAGUUGCUUGGGAAGCGUAGAUACAAAGUAGUAAGAGGCUAUGGAAUGCAGGGAAUAUGGAAGACCAUAUUAUCAUGGAACAAAAUAGAAAGAGAUGGAACAAAAUGAGAAGAGAAAAGAAAGAAAAAGCAUGGGAAGAAUUCACGGAUCAAAUUUCCAAAGAAAACGACAUAGGCAAGAUCUGGCAAAAGGUAAGGAGUGUAAAAAAUUACUACACCAAGAAAAAAUCAGCUAUGAAUAACAAAACUAGGAAAGAAUUAGAGAAAAAAGAAAUGGAAGAAAUUAAAAGGAAAAAUUAUGAACUAAACAAUCCAUUCAUAGGAAUAGAAACAGAAAUCAAAGAGUACAAUGAAGGAAGGGAAUCUAUAUGAUCCAAAAAGAUAGAAAACACGGAAAUAAUGUUAACAAUCGCAUCACAAAAAGGCAAAAGAUCGGCACCAGGAAACGACGGGGUGGAUUACAAGAUCAUAAACGAAUUACCAGGGUUCAUGAGGAACGUGUAUUGUGAAUUGAUAAAAGAGAGCUGGAACAGAGAAGAAAUUCCCCAGGAAUAGAGAGAAGGCCGAAUAUGUUUCCUGGAUAAACCGAAUAAAGCUGCAUUGAGACUCAUCACACUUACCUCGUGCGCAGUAAGAUUUUGGAGAAAAUAAUUAACAGAAGGUUGUUAAUGUAGGCGGAAACUAAUAAUAUAAUCGAUGACACGCAGUCGGGUUCCAGAAAUAAGAGGUCGACUCUGGAUAACUUGAAUAGAUUAAUAACAGAAAUCAAGUACAACCGAAUGAAAAAUCUGGACUCGGCAACAGUGUUCGUGGAUAUCAAAGGACUGUACGACAAUGUCGACUUCAAGAAAUUGAUAGAGAUACUCAUGAAAUUGAAGUGUCCCGAAAAAAUAGUAAAGUGGCUUAAGGGGGUAGACACGGCACGUGACCUCUCCAAUUCGGAAGGUCGGUAUUACAGCAGCUACUCUCUGCAUAGAAAUAGUGUUACCAUUAAAUAUGCGGUAGCGGAGGAAAACUAGAUGGAGCUGCUCGUUAUUGCCAUACAGUAUAAUUUCUUCUCAACAACAUAUACUGUAUACUUCUUCCUUGAGUGAUUCUGAAUGCUCAGCGUAGGAAGUAGUAGUAUUCUGUUCCACGUUGCGUAUUAUGUUUGUGUAGUGCGGUCACACUUCACCAUCACGCGUGCAUAUACAAAUAGGAGCUAGGUUGGGGGACCCUCGGCGCCGCUGCGGAGCCUCGUGAGUUGCUCCGCGCUAUCGAGAAUUUGGAAAACUU
This is an RNA transcript of Hylaeus anthracinus, 4020 nucleotides long. RefSeq lists it as uncharacterized. The transcript is spliced from 3 exons. NCBI's taxonomy places the organism in Eukaryota, Metazoa, Arthropoda, Insecta, Hymenoptera, Colletidae. The record is from RefSeq and is a predicted model, not a curated record.